This 755-nucleotide ribosomal RNA is filed under the name Salmonella enterica subsp. enterica serovar Infantis. Its description in RNAcentral is "partial 23S ribosomal RNA". It matches the Rfam family "Bacterial large subunit ribosomal RNA", at positions 1 to 688 of the family's 2925-position model. RNAcentral also lists the same sequence under 4 other names. Lineage: Bacteria; Pseudomonadati; Pseudomonadota; Gammaproteobacteria; Enterobacterales; Enterobacteriaceae. The record is from RNAcentral.
GGGUUGUGAGGUUAAGCGACUAAGCGUACACGGUGGAUGCCCUGGCAGUCAGAGGCGAUGAAGGGCGUGCUAAUCUGCGAUAAGCGCCGGUAAGGUGAUAUGAACCGUUAUAACCGGCGAUACCCGAAUGGGGAAACCCAGUGUGACUCGUCACACUAUCAUUAACUGAAUCCAUAGGUUAAUGAGGCGAACCGGGGGAACUGAAACAUCUAAGUACCCCGAGGAAAAGAAAUCAACCGAGAUUCCCCCAGUAGCGGCGAGCGAACGGGGAGGAGCCCAGAGCCUGAAUCAGCAUGUGUGUUAGUGGAAGCGUCUGGAAAGGCGCGCGAUACAGGGUGACAGCCCCGUACACAAAAGCGCAUGUGCUGUGAGCUCGAUGAGUAGGGCGGGACACGUGGUAUCCUGUCUGAAUAUGGGGGGACCAUCCUCCAAGGCUAAAUACUCCUGACUGACCGAUAGUGAACCAGUACCGUGAGGGAAAGGCGAAAAGAACCCCGGCGAGGGGAGUGAAAAAGAACCUGAAACCGUGUACGUACAAGCAGUGGGAGCCCCACCACUAAGCCAGUGGUGAACUCCACAUACGCAUCCUUUGCUGAGGAUACGGUUAACGGAGCGCAAGCGACGUUCAACCGCAAAAGAAGCAGAGGGGGCUUAGUGGUGGGGUGACUGCGUACCUUUUGUAUAAUGGGUCAGCGACUUAUAUUCUGUAGCAAGGUUAACCGUAUAGGGGAGCCGGAGGGAAACCGAGUCUUAAU